GACGAACGCUGGCGGCGUGCUUAACACAUGCAAGUCGAACGGUAAGGCCCUUCGGGUACGACGAGUGGCGAACGGGUGAGUAACACGUGGGUGAUCUGCCCUGCACUUCGGGAUAAGCUUGGGAAACUGGGUCUAAUACCGGAUAGGACCACGGUCUGCAUGGAUUGUGGUGGAAAGCUUUUGCGGUGUGGGAUGGGCCCGCGGCCUAUCAGCUUGUUGGUGGGGUGAUGGCCUACCAAGGCGACGACGGGUAGCCGGCCUGAGAGGGUGUCCGGCCACACUGGGACUGAGAUACGGCCCAGACUCCUACGGGAGGCAGCAGUGGGGAAUAUUGCACAAUGGGCGCAAGCCUGAUGCAGCGACGCCGCGU
RNAcentral lists this ribosomal RNA (370 nucleotides) under uncultured bacterium. RNAcentral's name for it is "bacterial SSU rRNA". It matches the Rfam family "Bacterial small subunit ribosomal RNA", at positions 28 to 402 of the family's 1533-position model. The record is from RNAcentral.